Molecule: non-coding RNA, 45 nt
Organism: Echinostoma caproni
Lineage: Eukaryota; Metazoa; Platyhelminthes; Trematoda; Plagiorchiida; Echinostomatidae
Source: Rfam
GCACUGCUAAGGAGUCCUAAACAGGACGAAACAGUUGUCCAGUGU